RNAcentral lists this transfer RNA (73 nucleotides) under Acidimicrobiaceae bacterium. RNAcentral describes it as "tRNA-Thr". It matches the Rfam family "tRNA". Rfam says of the family: Transfer RNA (tRNA) molecules are approximately 80 nucleotides in length. Their secondary structure includes four short double-helical elements and three loops (D, anti-codon, and T loops). The record is from RNAcentral. Lineage: Bacteria; Bacillati; Actinomycetota; Acidimicrobiia; Acidimicrobiales; Acidimicrobiaceae. RNAcentral also lists the same sequence under 3 other names.
GCCCGAAUAGCUCAGUCGGCAGAGCGACGCUCUCGUAAAGCGUAGGUCGUGGGUUCAAUUCCCACUUCGGGCU